This 355-nucleotide transfer-messenger RNA is filed under the name Desulfosarcinaceae. Its description in RNAcentral is "Desulfatitalea sp000961655 Standard tmRNA". It matches the Rfam family "transfer-messenger RNA". From Rfam's summary of the family: Bacterial tmRNA, also known as 10Sa RNA or SsrA, is named for its dual tRNA and mRNA-like properties. Its role is to liberate the mRNA from a stalled ribosome. Lineage: Bacteria; Pseudomonadati; Thermodesulfobacteriota; Desulfobacteria; Desulfobacterales. The record is from RNAcentral.
GGGGGCGAAACGGCUUCGACGGGGACAAAGAAGUGCUGGUUGCAUACCGAGUGCUCAUCGGCUCGUUAACUCGAUGGGAAAUAAACAUAAUCGCAGACGAUUAUAACUACGCCGUAGCCGCUUAGGCGGCUGCCGUCCUGCCGAUUCACCUCCUGCGGAUUCGGUAAGGGCGUCGACUAGCAGGAUCAGUUCAUACCCAAUGCCUGUUAAGGUAUGGAUGAAAUUUUAGCAGGCUAGCGGUUCCAGCCUCUCGCCCGAUGGAGCCUCGAACCGCGAAAUUAAUCAUCGGGACAUGUAUGUAGACGCCAGUGCGGAAUGUUUUCGGACGCGGGUUCAACUCCCGCCGCCUCCACCA